This 424-nucleotide ribosomal RNA is filed under the name uncultured bacterium. RNAcentral's name for it is "bacterial SSU rRNA". It matches the Rfam family "Bacterial small subunit ribosomal RNA", at positions 31 to 500 of the family's 1533-position model. The record is from RNAcentral.
GUACGCUGGCGGCACGCCUAACACAUGCAAGUCGAACGAAGUAGCAAUACUUAGUGGCAGACGGGUGAGUAACAUGUGGGUAUCUACCCUUUGGUCUGGAAUAACACGAGGAAACUUGUGCUAAUACCGGAUAAGUCUUUACGGAGAAAGCUUUAUGCACCAUUGGAUGAGCCCGCACUUGAUUAGUUUGUUGGUGGGGUAAUGGCCUACCAAGACUAUGAUCAAUAGCUGAUUUGAGAGGAUGAUCAGCCACAUUGGGACUGAGACACGGCCCAAACUCCUACGGGAGGCAGCAGUGGGGAAUCUUGCACAAUGGAGGAAACUCUGAUGCAGCGAUGCCGCGUGAGUGAAGAAGGCCCUUGGGUUGUAAAGCUCUUUCGUCGGGGAAGAAAAUGACUGUACCCGAAUAAGAAGGUCCGGCUAA